This 253-nucleotide ribosomal RNA is filed under the name uncultured bacterium. Its description in RNAcentral is "partial 16S ribosomal RNA". It matches the Rfam family "Bacterial small subunit ribosomal RNA", at positions 524 to 776 of the family's 1533-position model. The record is from RNAcentral.
UACGUAGGAUCCAAGCGUUGUCCGGAUUUACUGGGAGUAAAGGGUGCGCAGGCGGACUGGUUAGUCUGGGGUGAAAUCUCAUCGCUUAACGGUGAAACUGCCUUAGAUACUGCCAGUCUUGAAUUAGGGAGAGGUUCGUGGAAUUCCGAGUGUAGCAGUGAAAUGUGUAGAUAUUCGGAAGAACACCAGUGGCGAAGGCAGCGAACUGGCCCUUAAUUGACGCUCAGGCACGAAAGCAUGGGGAUCAAACAGG